Phasianus colchicus (ring-necked pheasant) is the source of this 3728-nucleotide non-coding RNA. The record is from RefSeq and is a predicted model, not a curated record. NCBI's taxonomy places the organism in Eukaryota, Metazoa, Chordata, Aves, Galliformes, Phasianidae.
CCUCGCACAGCGCCGAGUGCCGCCCGCCGCCCUCCGCUCGGCCCCGCUCCGCUCCGCCGCUCCUUUCGCCGCUUCAGGGCCGCUCGGCGGCGGGAGAAGCGCAGCGCCCGGGCGCACCGCCCCGCCCGCCCUCCUUUCCUCCCUCCCCCCUUCCUUCCUUCCUUCCCCUCCCUCCCCGGCCCUUCCUCUCUCCGCCUGGUGCCGCCACCGCCGAGGAGGAGGAGGAACAUGGCGAAAGCGGAGCAGGUCCUCAGCCUCGAACCGCAGCACGAGCUCAAAUUCAAAGGUCCUUUCACAGAUGUUGUCACUACGAACCUGAAACUCGGCAACCCUACAGACAAAAAUGUGUGCUUCAAAGUUAAGACCACAGCACCACGUAGAUACUGUGUAAGGCCUAACAGUGGAAUUAUUGAUGCAGGAACAUCAAUUAAUGUUUCUGUGAUGCUACAGCCUUUUGACUAUGACCCGAAUGAGAAAAGUAAACACAAGUUUAUGGUUCAGUCUAUGUUUGCUCCAGUUGAUACUUCAGAUAUGGAAGCAGUAUGGAAAGAGGCAAAGCCGGAGGAGCUCAUGGACUCGAAACUUAGGUGUGUGUUUGAGCUACCGACGGAAAAUGAUAAGCCUCAUGACAUAGAAAUAAAUAAAAUUGUAUCCACAACUGCAACAAAGACAGAUUCCUCUGUAAUGUCUAAAUCAAUAAGUUCUUCCUUGGAUGACACUGAAGUUAAGAAAGUAAUGGAAGAAUAUAAGAGGCUUCAAGUAGAAGUUCAGAGGUUACGGGAGGAGAAUAAACAGUUUAAGGAAGAAGAUGGACUUCGGAUGAGAAAGGCACCUCAGACGAACAACCCAAUAUCUGCUUCUGCAGCUGUUGUCAAGGAUGAAGGGCACAGCUCCAGACUACUUGCUUUGGUGGUUUUGUUCUUUGUCAUUGGUGUAAUUAUAGGAAAAAUAGCCUUGUAGAGGCAGCAUGCUGGAAAUUGUAAAUUGGUUUGAUGGUUCUGCCAUAUCAUUGGAUUAAAUUUAUUCAUAACAGUGUUUAAAAAAAAAAAAUUAAUGUAUGACAUCUCACAGGUCUUGCCUUUAAAUUACCCCUGCACAAAUACUAUGUAACAUAAUCUAGAAAGUUUAAAAUGUACAAUGAGGGAAUGAAUGAAAGAAUAUUCUUCAGUGAUGAAGGGGGAAGAAAAUCAUGAUUUAACACUACAAUGGAAUAUUGUAUAUGUCAUUUUAAACAUUCUUAGUCCCUGGUACAUGUUGCUGGAUGACCUCUUUUUAAAAAAAAAAAGGAAAAAAAAAAAGGAAAAAUAGAAAAAAAAAAGAUUCCUCCACUGCUGGAGCUGGCCCUAUUGGAUGUUUGGAGCUGGGUUAGGCAGGAGGUGUUGAUAACUUCUGUAAAAUAUGUUAAUCCACCAUUCUGCUCAUAAAUUUAACAGUUUUUCUGUCAGUGUCUUCAACUCUGUGAAGUUACCAAUUUCUUGACACUUAAAUGAAUAGUGAGAAGCUGGAAAGAGUUGUAUGUGGCAACGCUGAAUGUGCUAGGCAUCAUUAAGAGGCGUAUAUUGACUGGUAUGACGCUAGUUUGGAGUAAAAGUCAAUGCCUUGUUCUUAUGGAGGGACCAAGCUACAUUGCUAUUGGUUCAUUUAGUUGAAUUAAAAUGUUAUUCAGAGAUGUUUAAUGCAUAUUUAACUUAUUUAAUGUAUUUCAUCUCAUGUUUCCUUCCUGUCACAAAAUUGACUAAUGCUUUAUGGUAUGAAAAGGCACCUGUUCUAAAGCCAGUGACUAGAACUAAAAAUCUGCUGCUGUAGUGAUGCAAGAUUCUUCUGCCUCCUGUAGUUUUGGGCACUACACAAUUGUUGGGAGUUUUGAUCAUCUGAGCAUUGGGGAAACAGUGGUCAGGAAACUGUUUUUGUAUGUAAAUAAGUCUAUCUAGGGGAAAAAAUAUUAGUAGUAAACUAGUCCUAUGCCGUAAAAAGACCAAUCCUGUUUGAUGAUGUAGCAUCUAAAAAAAGAAAAAAAAAAAAAAAAGAAGAAAAAAGAGAUUAAAUAAAGCCCCCAAAUUAAUGUUUCUUUUGUUACUGUUGUCAUGCUCUGAUAGUUUUGGCGGGGAGGGAACAGCAUUAUCUGUCAACUUAGCUUGUUUAUAGCAUAAGGAAACCAGUAGCCAUGUUUCAGAAAGACUUUUCCCUGCCUCAUUCUAAAAUCCAUGUGAGCAGCCCCACUCUGAGCAUCCUUUACUGGUGUGCUGUGUGUGUUGUCCACAGGAACCGUGCUGACUGCUGAGGUGCUGCAUAACUUCACAUUUCUCAGUUUAGUUGGAUUCAUUGGUUAAGAUGCUUACUAACAUAUCGAACGUGAAGCAAAGGUAAUUUUGUUUCUUUUCUUAUAAAACUCAAACUCUUUGUGCUUUAACGUGUUGGGCCUCAGUAGAUGAACUAGCUUCUGAGCAAGUGAACCCUUGUAUACUCUUAGAUCCCAUGCCCAGAAACCAUUGCUGACAAAGUUUUUGUAACACCAUUCAAGGUUAAGAAACAUCUUUAAAAUGUGGCUUCUUCCAUUCCUUUUUUGCUCCUGAGAUUCCUUGAGAAGGGUGUUUGGGCAGCCGCUGUCCGCUGUGCUCUUCUCCAUCAUUGCCUUUGGUAUUUGUUCCAUUUUUUCUCAGGUGCAAAAAAGUGAAACUUCCUGUGAGAUUUAAUAAGAAAAUGGCUUUGGGGGGAUGAAAAACUGUUUGGUGUGUGCCCCUUAGGAGCACAGCUCUGGAAGUAGCAACAGAAAUGAGAGGUUUGUUACUUUAAAAUGUUACUGCCUUCUUGUCUGCUUAGGAUGGAAGGAAAAAGAGCUAAAGUGUGGCUGCAGCAGUGUGCCAGGAGAAGAAAGCAGUGUGACAGACUGGGCUGAGGGAUGAGACAGAGAGUUCCUAAAGGCCAGUCUGUGGAGAUACUGCAAAAAUAAUCCAGCUUUUAUAAACCGUCCUUUAGAUGCUGCUGCUAGGAGAGCUUUUGUUUGGUAUUCACAGGAGGUGGAUAUUCUGGAGGGCAUUGUGUAUCUUAGGAAGUUAGGUAUGAAGUGUAGAGCUCAUGGAUAACACUAUCAUCUGGUGUCCUUCCACAGCACCAGCUGCUAGGAAACUGUAGUUGAUACACAGUAGUAGAAAACAAGUUAUUCUUUACUCAUUGUCCUUACUGCUCUUUUAAGAUACAUUUACUGUUAGUUUUUCUAAGAGCCAGCAGAGGCUGCUUUGGUAGUGCUCUCCCUGUGGAGCUCUGGCACUGCUGUCGGUGCAAUUUGGGCGCCUCUGCAAACAGUUCUAAAACAUCUAAGAGCUGAAGUUUGCUGAGAAGUGAAUGAGAAAACGAUCUCUGCUCUUUUCACGUGGCUGUUCCCAUCUUACAGCACCGUUCUGUGUGUGAGUGAUGGUGUCACUGUGCACUGCAGCUGUGGAGUGUGAAUGCACAUGAACAGCAGUUGUGUGUGCAGGCCAGGCACCCAGUUCUGGUUCUUGUCAAGUAUGUGUAGGGCCCAAAAAGUUAAGUUAAUACUACGUAUGUAAUGCUGAGAGGGAUUGAUGUAUCAUAAUGUAAUUUUCUAAAAGUAUAGGAUUGUAAAAGCUUGGUGAUGGUAUUCCAUGUUACUUUUUUUCUGCUGAAAUGCUGUUAGUGGGAUAAAGCUGGAAAUUCACUUUACAAAUUGCUAGACUUUCUUCUCACCAAUAAACCAUAAAGGGUUUCUA